AUUGAACGCUGGCGGCAGGCCUAACACAUGCAAGUCGAGCGAGCGGCGGACGGGUGCGUCAUGCCUGGGAAUUGCACAGUCGAGGGGGAUAACAGUUGGAAACGACUGCUAAUACCGCAUACGAUUGGAUUGCCCAGGUGUGAUUAGCUAGUUGGUGAGGUAAUGGCUCACCAAGGCGACGAUCCCUAGCUGGUCUGAGCGGAUGAUCAGCCACACUGGAACUGAGACACGGUCCAGACUCCUACGGGAGGCAGCAGUGGGGAAUAGUGCACAAUGGGGGAAAACCUGAGGCAGCCAUGCCGCGUGUGUGAAGAAGGCCUUCGGGUUGUAAAGCACUGUCAGCGAGGAGGCGUUACUCGCAGAGAAAGCACCGGCUAACUACGUGCCAGCAGCCGCGAUAAUUC
Molecule: ribosomal RNA, 404 nt
Filed under: uncultured bacterium
Lineage: Bacteria
Description: partial 16S ribosomal RNA
Rfam family: Bacterial small subunit ribosomal RNA
Source: RNAcentral